Molecule: ribosomal RNA, 497 nt
Filed under: uncultured bacterium
Lineage: Bacteria
Description: partial 16S ribosomal RNA
Rfam family: Bacterial small subunit ribosomal RNA
Source: RNAcentral
GAUGAACGCUGGCGGCGUGCCUAAUACAUGCAAGUCGAGCGAACGGACGAGAAGCUUGCUUCUCUGAUGUUAGCGGCGGACGGGUGAGUAACACGUGGAUAACCUACCUAUAAGACUGGGAUAACUUCGGGAAACCGGAGCUAAUACCGGAUAAUAUUUUGAACCGCAUGGUUCAAAAGUGAAAGACGGUCUUGCUGUCACUUAUAGAUGGAUCCGCGCUGCAUUAGCUAGUUGGUAAGGUAACGGCUUACCAAGGCAACGAUGCAUAGCCGACCUGAGAGGGUGAUCGGCCACACUGGAACUGAGACACGGUCCAGACUCCUACGGGAGGCAGCAGUAGGGAAUCUUCCGCAAUGGGCGAAAGCCUGACGGAGCAACGCCGCGUGAGUGAUGAAGGUCUUCGGAUCGUAAAACUCUGUUAUGAGGGAAGAACAUAUGUGUAAGUAACUGUGCACAUCUUGACGGUACCUAAUCAGAAAGCCACGGCUAACUACGUG